Parasteatoda tepidariorum (common house spider) is the source of this 224-nucleotide long non-coding RNA. NCBI's taxonomy places the organism in Eukaryota, Metazoa, Arthropoda, Arachnida, Araneae, Theridiidae. The record is from RefSeq and is a predicted model, not a curated record.
UGCGCCAAACUUUCGUACUCUGACAGGCACGUAACCGAUGACUUAUUUUGUAGUUGUUGACAAGAUGGACGAUUUUGUUGUUGAAUCUUGAUAUCAUCUCAUGCAAGUUGUCUUUGAAAUUGUCAAUUUCUUUUGAAGCACAAAGAUACCAACAACUUCGAUGAUUUUAAUUGAGAAAGAGACACAGGAAAAAAUAUUGUUAUACCCAGUGCCGAACCUAUUGA